CACAUCAUACCCUGAAGCACAGAACUCAGUUUCCUGUAUCCAGCCACACUGUCUGCAGACUAUUUGGCUUUGAUGAGGACAAAGAAAUAAGCAGAGAAGUAUCUUUCUGUGCUGCCACAAAAACAAAACAGCAUUCAAUCCAGAAAUCUUUUACCUGAUGUAUCCAUGCACCAGAGCUGGUUGCCAUCAGUUCAGGGGCAGGCUCCCCGUGUGCCGGCAUCAUGUCGCCCUGAGCUAUUGGCCAACCAGUGUGCUCCAGGCAAAUCUGAAACAAAACCUAAAUUAGGGCAUCCUCAUUUUGUUUUACAGCUCAUGGAAGGCUGCCCAGGCUGCAGGGGACCACACAGCUGCAGGAAUAUAGGAAGUGAGAAAAUAGGCCACUGUUAAUAACUUGGUGAUUCCAGGCAUGCACAAGAAUAACUGAAAAUUGGCGUAACCUGGAACCAUCUAUCUUCACUUAUUCAUUUGAAGAGUCAAGGAAUUCAAGACAUCUUUGGAAAUAAGAAAGAACUUGGCUCUUCUCUCCCAGGAUAUUGCAAAACAAUUUUGUACCAUCUAUUGCAAUACCUACCUGGGAAUAAACAUUCCCCUCAGACAUUAUCAGAGACAGGACCACCCAUGGCAGAAGGCAAUGAGCAAAUUCCCAGGGGCCCUGUUCCCAGAUGUAGCAGACCCUCCUCACAGCCACUGCCUGCUGUGGGGCAGCUCCCUCAGGACCUGCUCCCCAUACCUUGGGGGCAGCAGGAAUACCACCGCUCUCCCUGCUGGGAGAGGAGCUGUGCGGGAGGCUUUAGUGGUUAGCCUUCUGUAAUGAGUGGAUGUCCUUUCAUGUUCCCAAGAGAGAUGUAACUGGGCUGCACAGCUGUUCUGCAGCAGACUGGGACGGCAGAAUAAGUCAGCAGUGUUUUGCUAGGGAUGCAAACUGCAGAGGACUGGUUCUGGUGUUUUUUAGCAGCUCUUGAUACAUUGUGCUGAGAAAAUGCCUGCCUGAGGAUGCCUCUACAAAGCUAGCCUUUUCAGAGCCCGUGUGAGGCAGGCACUUUCCACAUCACCCUCCUUCCCCUCCAGGUGCUUCAAUUUUUGCAGUAUGCCAGGCCAUCACAUCUAUCAGUAUUCAGGCAGAGCUUUUCCAUGGAAAUCUAUGCGUGCUUGGCAGCUCUCCGACUGAUUUCCCAGCACAAGUUUUGCAGAGGACUAAUUUCAAUGGCUUUUACAAUGAUUUCAGUGGAUGCAUUUGGAGGAUAGUAUAUGGAGGAAGAAUUGCCUGGCUCCCAUUAACACCAAUGGAGUCACGAGGGCACCAGCCUGUACGCUGCUCUGGGACAUAGCUGCAAUGACUGGUGAGGGGGCUGCUGCCUUUCCUCUGUUCUUCUAGAUGCAAUGCUUCCCUCGUGCAGAGCAGUGGGCAAAAUAAAGCAGAGGGACAGCACAGUUUCCUCCACCUGAGAAAUUCUGCAGAAUAACUUUGGGGUUCGCCUUGAUUUUUAGAGAGAACCUUCCACUUCUGAAUUUCCUGAAGUAUGAGGUAUCUAAGAUCGUGGCAAAAACAAAUUACCAAAACAAACAAAAAAGCAAACAAAAAAAAUCAUAGCAAAUGGAAAACUUACUAUUAACAACAUUCUGGUUAGUAGUUGCAUAGGACUCAUGGUCCCACCAAAAUUCUAGGAUUCUUUGAUUAUACAUCUUCCUUGCUAGUCAUAGAUAAAUGGGGCAGCUGCACAGCUGAAGCUAGUAGCUAAUUUAAAAUUUGACCUGUAUUAAAAAAAUAAUAAUAAUAAAUUUUGGAUCCUUCAUUCUCUGUUUAUGAACACCUGCAGUUUAUAUUGCACACAUUUUCACUGGACACAAUCUGUAAAAUUAUUAUAGCGUAGUCCUCCCGUAUGUCACACUGUGGCAGUACCUUUGAUCUCAGCCCUUGGGAAACAUUUUUUCAUGUGGGCAGCAGCAGCAGCUGUAAAUACAAUGUUAAUACUAUUGGGGUAUUAAAUUUCCCUUUUAUUUUGCUGGCUGAAGUCAGAAGGUUUAUGCACUUCUACACUUCCCAUACAGCACGCUUUCAAGUUUCUGAAGUUCCAAAGAUGAUCUGGUGAAUGUUCUGUCUUAGAUACACUUAUAAGAGAAAAAAGAUCUCUCUCGUUUCUUUAGAGUUCGGGAAAAUAUGCUUCAGUGACAAAUCUUGAUCUCUCAACAUCUUGAUGCUCCCCUCAGUUGCUUUAGCACUGACAGCUUUUCUGCUUUAACUUGAGCAGGAACAACUUGGUGGCUAAAUCACCCAGUUACAGCCUGCAGAUACGCUUCACGUUGAAGUUACUCAUAUUUAAAAUCCCACGUCAGCUUUAAGAAAGAGUCUGCCAAAAACAAGUUUUCUCUGUCCUUGUUUGUUGUUUCAUCACAGCGCUAAAAUUCAGGGUUGCAUGCUGACUCUGCCACGCACAGGUAGCACAGAAAUCUGUCCUUAGCUUGCCACUGUGUUACGUAGCAGAUGAGCUGCAAAAACACAUCCCAACUACACCUGUAAGUCAAUGCUGUAAAGAUUAGAUAAUGCUCUGUGCAGUGUAAAGAGUAUCUUGACCUAAACUUUAUUGAGAGGUCUUCUAUUCCCUUUGGCCUGAUUCAGAGGUAGCUGCUCUGCGUAACAUCUUAUUUGUUAUGGUUUUAAAUUGGGAAUGUUAUACAGAUUGCACUCCUCUCUUCCAUGUGGAGAAUGUACAUCUGUAGUAGGAAUGUUUACUAAGUAUUAUUUUUUAAAGCACAUAGAUAUUGUUAAAAAGAACAUACACUGAACCCAUUCCAAUGAUUUAAGUGCCUUUUCCCUUUCAAGAGCACUAAAGUGAAAAAAAGUCUUUUAAAAGGUAUUCUGCCAAAUGGUAUAAAAAGACUCCGAAGGGUCCAAAUUACCUUGACUUAACCUUUCUUACCCACUGCUUUGCAGGCUGAAUUAGACACACAAACAGCAAGACCUGCUCUUUGCAUGCUUCAUACACACUGCUGUCAAAUGUGCAUACCAACAUUCAGUUCUGUUCAUUUUCAAAUACCACUCUAAUAGCCAGUUUUGUGCACACAAAGCUUUUUAAAUGCAUCUGCUGGGUCCUGUGCCUCAGGGCAUAUCUCGUUUUGUGC
Molecule: long non-coding RNA, 3120 nt
Organism: Tympanuchus pallidicinctus (lesser prairie-chicken)
Lineage: Eukaryota; Metazoa; Chordata; Aves; Galliformes; Phasianidae
Exons: 2
Source: RefSeq, a predicted model, not a curated record